Molecule: ribosomal RNA, 420 nt
Filed under: uncultured Acaulosporaceae
Lineage: Eukaryota; Fungi; Glomeromycota; Glomeromycetes; Diversisporales; Acaulosporaceae
Description: SSU rRNA
Rfam family: Eukaryotic small subunit ribosomal RNA
Source: RNAcentral
UUGGAGGGCAAGUCUGGUGCCAGCAGCCGCGGUAAUUCCAGCUCCAAUAGCGUAUAUUAAAGUUGCUGCAGUUAAAAAGCUCGUAGUUGAACUUCGGGGUUCAUCCGUUGGUCGGGCUUUUUUGGCGUGAUGGAUUCCUACCUUCUGAAUAACCAGCAUGUCAUUAGUUUGGUGCGCUGGGGAAGCAGGACUGUUACCUUGAAAAAAUUAGAGUGCUUAAAGCAGGUUAUCGCCUGAAUACAUUAGCAUGGAAUAAUGAAAUAGGACGGCAUGGUUCUAUUUUGUUGGUUUCUAGGAUCACCGUAAUGAUUAAUAGGGAUAGUUGGGGGCAUUAGUAUUCAAUUGUCAGAGGUGAAAUUCUUGGAUUUAUUGAAGACUAACUUCUGCGAAAGCAUUUGCCAAGGAUGUUUUCAUUAACUA